GCAGGGUCAGGAGGUUCCACCCACUUCAUUCCUGCCAAUCAGUUGAAGCCGGUGUGAGCUUCGGACGUUAAUCCCACCCCCCGGCGGUUUGUUGCAGAGUUUCUGGCUUCUGCCACACUCCAGAAAACUUUCUGGAAUUACCCACUCUAAGUUCAGGUCAGAUACCCAUCCACCGACUCAGACUUCGCUGAACUGUUGAGCAACAAGAGAGAACCACUUCCAGACCUGUGCCUGAGAAAUUACAUGAAAGGGUGGCAACAAAGAAAUCAAACAGUGAUGAUACAUUACAGUUUUCUACAAGUCAUAAACAGUGAAGUUAACUGGGAGAAAUGAACCACAUUAAACAAAGACCACGUUUUCUGCUUUUUCUUCUAAGU
This 377-nucleotide long non-coding RNA is filed under the name Macaca mulatta (Rhesus monkey). RNAcentral's name for it is "lncRNA (ENSMMUG00000060519.1)". The record is from RNAcentral. Lineage: Eukaryota; Metazoa; Chordata; Mammalia; Primates; Cercopithecidae.